UUUGCAUAUUCAUAAGCGGAGGAAAAGAAACCAACUGGGAUUACCUUAGUAACGGCGAGUGAAGCGGUAAAAGCUCAAAUUUGAAAUCUGGUACUUUCAGUGCCCGAGUUGUAAUUUGUAGAAUUUGUCUUUGAUUAGGUCCUUGUCUAUGUUCCUUGGAACAGGACGUCAUAGAGGGUGAGAAUCCCGUUUGGCGAGGAUACCUUUUCUCUGUAAGACUUUUUCGAAGAGUCCAGUUGUUUGGGAAUGCAGCUCAAAGUGGGUGGUAAAUUCCAUCUAAAGCUAAAUAUUGGCGAGAGACCGAUAGCGAACAAGUACAGUGAUGGAAAGAUGAAAAGAACUUUGAAAAGAGAGUGAAAAAGUACGUGAAAUUGUUGAAAGGGAAGGGCAUUUGAUCAGACAUGGUGUUUUUUGCAUGCACUCGCCUCUCGUGGGCUUGGGCCUCUCAAAAAUUUCACUGGGCCAACAUCAAUUCUGGCAGUAGGAUAAAUCAUUAAGAAUGUAGCUACCUCGGUAGUGUUAUAGCUUAUUGGAAUACUGCUAGCUGGGAUUGAGGACUGCGCUCGGCAAGGAUGUGCA
RNAcentral lists this ribosomal RNA (579 nucleotides) under Hanseniaspora opuntiae. Its description in RNAcentral is "partial large subunit ribosomal RNA". It matches the Rfam family "Eukaryotic large subunit ribosomal RNA", at positions 35 to 616 of the family's 3401-position model. The record is from RNAcentral. Lineage: Eukaryota; Fungi; Ascomycota; Saccharomycetes; Saccharomycodales; Saccharomycodaceae.